AUUGAACGCUGGCGGCAUGCUUUACACAUGCAAGUCGAACGGUAACAGGCCUUCGGGUGCUGACGAGUGGCGAACGGGUGAGUAAUGCAUCGGAACGUACCCAGAGGUGGGGGAUAACGCAGCGAAAGCUGUGCUAAUACCGCAUGUGAUCUGAGGAUGAAAGCGGGGCACCGAGCAGCAAUGUUUGGCCUCGCGCCUUUGGAGCGGCCGAUUUCGGAUUAGCUAGUUGGUGGGGUAAAGUCCUACCAAGGCGACGAUCCGUAGCUGGUCUGGGAGGACGACCAGCCCACCUGGGACUGGAACCCGGCCCAAACUCCUACGGGAGGGCGCAGGGGGGAAUGUUGGACAAAGGGCGGAAACCUGAUCCAGGAAAGCCGCGUGGGGGAAGAAGGGCUUCGGGUUGGAAACCGCUUUUGGCAGGAACGAAACGGUGUCCGCUAAUACCGGGCGCUAAUGACGGUACCUGCAGAAUAAGCGCCGGCUAACUACGUG
RNAcentral lists this ribosomal RNA (492 nucleotides) under uncultured bacterium. Its description in RNAcentral is "partial 16S ribosomal RNA". It matches the Rfam family "Bacterial small subunit ribosomal RNA", at positions 29 to 507 of the family's 1533-position model. The record is from RNAcentral.